Molecule: long non-coding RNA, 1046 nt
Organism: Carassius gibelio (silver crucian carp)
Lineage: Eukaryota; Metazoa; Chordata; Actinopteri; Cypriniformes; Cyprinidae
Exons: 3
Source: RefSeq, a predicted model, not a curated record
CAGCAAGUAGUAUCCACACAGAUGAAUGUUACAUUCAAAUUCAUAUUUAACUAUACAUUUACCAGCUGGUUAGUAUUUCUACUAGUUAAUAUUUCUUAUGUUCAUAUUUACUUAGUAAAUUCGAUUUUUUUUAUGAAAUCAUUGAUAUAAUAUAACAAUAUAACUAUUAUAUAACUAUCUAUACCAUAUCGAUAUCAAUAAAUAAAUUCAAGUUUUAUCUUCCUUUUAUUUUUCAGAUUCACAAAAGUAUUAUCCCUGUUAAACUUAUGGAUGUCAAUGGGAGAAUACAUGUUUGUCACAUCACCACUGGGGGGUGCUGUGUGCAUUAAAAUAUUUUAGAAAGGACGAAUUUAAUGCCGCAAGCACAAACCUUACUAUCAAAUAUUGAAUAUUUAAACUCUACCAAAACGGCUUUAUUUAGUUUAUCUUUAAUGAUCCUCAUAGUAACAUAAUAAACAUGAUCACAGUCACAUUUGCUGAUGAAACUGAAUCAGUAGAGGGAGAUCAUUAUUGAACAAGAGGUAAUAUUUUUAAGUUUCAUUCACUGAAGGCACAAUCAUCUCAGCUUUUAAUAAGUGAAAACAAAGAAGGUGGUCUAAAUAAGCCACACCCACAGUGUAACUUCACAACAAGAUACUACAAUCAUUACAAUUCAGUUUAUAAAGCCUCGAGCAUGAAGUUAGUAAAUCUUGGAGAGAUGGAGAGAUGCUUUCUUCUGAUUCUAAUAUCCACUACAGGUAUCUUAUCUGACAGCAUUCAACCGAAAGACAAGGAAACUAAUAUUUACGCAACUGAAGAAGAGCGUGUAACACUGAGCUGCACUUAUGACACAGGCAGCAAUUAUGUCUAUCUCUACUGGUACAGACAGUAUCCUAAUGGGAAACCAGAAUAUAUACUGUUUAAAGGUGCCCGGACUUGGAGCAGUGACGAAAAUAUACCAGACACUCGGUUUCAGUCCAUUACAUCCCAAACAUCCACUGAACUCAUUAUUAAGAGUGUAACUCUGUCAGAUUCAGCUCUUUAUUACUGUGCUCUAAGAGUAACAG